Molecule: transfer RNA, 68 nt
Filed under: Canis latrans (coyote)
Lineage: Eukaryota; Metazoa; Chordata; Mammalia; Carnivora; Canidae
Description: tRNA-Gly
Source: RNAcentral
ACUUCUUUAGUAUAACUAGUACAAUUGACUUCCAAUCAGUUAGCUCCAUAUUAACCUGGAAAGAAGUA